RNAcentral lists this ribosomal RNA (337 nucleotides) under Streptococcus agalactiae. RNAcentral's name for it is "bacterial SSU rRNA". It matches the Rfam family "Bacterial small subunit ribosomal RNA", at positions 1 to 328 of the family's 1533-position model. Lineage: Bacteria; Bacillati; Bacillota; Bacilli; Lactobacillales; Streptococcaceae. The record is from RNAcentral.
UUUAAUGAGAGUUUGAUCCUGGCUCAGGACGAACGCUGGCGGCGUGCCUAAUACAUGCAAGUAGAACGCUGAGGUUUGGUGUUUACACUAGACUGAUGAGUUGCGAACGGGUGAGUAACGCGUAGGUAACCUGCCUCAUAGCGGGGGAUAACUAUUGGAAACGAUAGCUAAUACCGCAUAAGAGUAAUUAACACAUGUUAGUUAUUUAAAAGGAGCAAUUGCUUCACUGUGAGAUGGACCUGCGUUGUAUUAGCUAGUUGGUGAGGUAAAGGCUCACCAAGGCGACGAUACAUAGCCGACCUGAGAGGGUGAUCGGCCACACUGGGACUGAGACACG